UGUCUUGGAAAAUGGAAUGAUGGGAAUUUAAACCUCUUCCAGAGUAUCAAUUGGAGGGCAAGUCUGGUGCCAGCAGCCGCGGUAAUUCCAGCUCCAAUAGCGUAUAUUAAAAUUGUUGCAGUUAAAAAGCUCGUAGUUGAAUUUCUGCUGCAUCGUCGCAUCUCUUGCUGAGUGCUUCGUUUCGGCUUAUUUCGGAUUGAUUUUUUCUUUCCGGAUGAUUACUUUGAGAAAAUUAGAGUGCUCAAAGCAGGCUUUUGCCUUGAAUAGUUUAGCAUGGAAUAAUAAAGUAGGACUUUGGUUCUAUUUUGUUGGUUUUAGGUACCAAAGUAAUGGUUAAUAGGAACAGUUGGGGGCAUUCGUAUUUAACUGUCAGAGGUGAAAUUCUUAGAUUUGUUAAAGACGAACUACUGCGAAAGCAUUUGCCAAGGAUGUUUUCAUUAAUCAAGAACGAAAGUUAGGGGAUCGAAGACGAUCAGAUACCGUCGUAGUCCUACC
This 495-nucleotide ribosomal RNA is filed under the name Theileria sinensis. RNAcentral describes it as "SSU rRNA". It matches the Rfam family "Eukaryotic small subunit ribosomal RNA", at positions 498 to 1030 of the family's 1831-position model. Lineage: Eukaryota; Apicomplexa; Aconoidasida; Piroplasmida; Theileriidae. The record is from RNAcentral.